GACGAACGCUGGCGGCGUGCUUAACACAUGCAAGUCGAACGGAAAGGCCCUGCUUUUGUGGGGUGCUCGAGUGGCGAACGGGUGAGUAACACGUGAGUAACCUGCCCUUGACUUUGGGAUAACUUCAGGAAACUGGGGCUAAUACCGAUAGGAGCUCCUGCUGCAUGGUGGGGGUUGGAAAGUUUCGGCGGUUGGGGAUGGACUCGCGGCUUAUCAGCUUGUUGGUGGGGUAGUGGCUUACCAAGGCUUUGACGGGUAGCCGGCCUGAGAGGGUGACCGGCCACAUUGGGACUGAGAUACGGCCCAGACUCCUACGGGAGGCAGCAGUGGGGAAUAUUGCACAAUGGGCGGAAGCCUGAUGCAGCAACGCCGCGUGCGGGAUGACGGCCUUCGGGUUGUAAACCGCUUCCGCCUGUGACGAAGCGUGAGUGACGGUAAUGGGUAAAGAAGCACCGGCUAACUACGUG
Molecule: ribosomal RNA, 467 nt
Filed under: uncultured bacterium
Lineage: Bacteria
Description: partial 16S ribosomal RNA
Rfam family: Bacterial small subunit ribosomal RNA
Source: RNAcentral